Long non-coding RNA from Nothoprocta perdicaria, 261 nucleotides. RefSeq lists it as uncharacterized. The transcript is spliced from 3 exons. NCBI's taxonomy places the organism in Eukaryota, Metazoa, Chordata, Aves, Tinamiformes, Tinamidae. The record is from RefSeq and is a predicted model, not a curated record.
CAGGUCACAUGUACAAUAGCCUGCAUUCAGCAUUGCAGCUCAAAAAAUGUAACUGCAGCAGCAGGGACCAGUAGUAACGAUGACUUAUCAGUCAACUCUAUAAGUGGGAACAAAAGCUACAGAGGCGGAAGACCAAAAAGAGAUGUGUCACCAUCCGAUGGGAUAAGAAGCGCUCCGAACAACGUGACAAGGCCCGGCCCGGUUCUGGAUCUCAAGGCAGAGUCCGUGGGUGUGGAGCAUGUGAAUUUGUCAUGGAGGGUG